GAUGAACGCUGGCGGCGUGCCUAAUACAUGCGAGUCGAGCGAACGGACGAGAAGCUUGCUUCUCUGAUGUUAGCGGCGGACGGGUGAGUAACACGUGGAUAACCUACCUAUAAGACUGGGAUAACUUCGGGAAACCGGAGCUAAUACCGGAUAAUAUUUUGAACCGCAUGGUUCAAAAGUGAAAGACGGUCUUGCUGUCACUUAUAGAUGGAUCCGCGCUGCAUUAGCUAGUUGGUAAGGUAACGGCUUACCAAGGCAACGAUGCAUAGCCGACCUGAGAGGGUGAUCGGCCACACUGGAACUGCGACACGGUCCAGACUCCUACGGGAGGCAGCAGUAGGGAAUCUUCCGCAAUGGGCGAAAGCCUGACGGAGCAACGCCGCGUGAGUGAUGAAGGUCUUCGGAUCGUAAAACUCUGUUAUUAGGGAAGAACAUAUGUGUAAGUAACUGUGCACAUCUUGACGGUACCUAAUCAGAAAGCCACGGCUAACUACGUG
This 497-nucleotide ribosomal RNA is filed under the name uncultured bacterium. Its description in RNAcentral is "partial 16S ribosomal RNA". It matches the Rfam family "Bacterial small subunit ribosomal RNA", at positions 28 to 507 of the family's 1533-position model. The record is from RNAcentral.